Impatiens glandulifera is the source of this 223-nucleotide long non-coding RNA. RefSeq lists it as uncharacterized. The record is from RefSeq and is a predicted model, not a curated record. Lineage: Eukaryota; Viridiplantae; Streptophyta; Magnoliopsida; Ericales; Balsaminaceae. The transcript is spliced from 3 exons.
GUGAAAGGGAAAGAGAAAGAAAUUGCUAUCUAUGGGAAUUAUCGACAUUACUACGGCUAUCGAAUUGGUCAAGGUUUAGAUGAAGACCCUAGGAUAAAGGUUAUGAAGAAGGAAUGGUUUGAAGGAAAGGAUUGUCUGGACAUUGGAUGCAAUGCUGGUUCAAUUACUAUUUCCAUUGCAAGAAAAUUCGAUUGUCGUAGCAUCCUUGGAAUUGACAUUGAUA